ACUAAUGCUCCAUCAUCAGUUACAUUAACUACUGAUAUUAGUACCAGUACAUCAGUUACAGUUAUAUCAUCUACUUCAAGUAAGUGCUAGCUUUAUUCCAUUAAUUAAUUAUGGCAGUAACAGUUACAGUGUCUUCAACAAUUCAUGAACAAUCAUCAUCUUUUAUUUCAGCUACUAGUACAUCAACUAGUACUACUAGUAUGAGUGUACCAGUUUCAUCAUCAACAACUGUAUCAACUACUGCUGCUGGUUCUAAUGCUGUUCCUAUUAUAUCAGGAGCCAUUGGAACAGUAUUUGUUAUAAUAAUAAUAAUUAUUAUUAUAUUGGUGUUAGUGAUACUGGCAAUCAAGAAACAAAGAAGAAAAAAAUAUAAAAUAUCUAAAGAGCAAGUUUACAUCUAUAUUUAUGUAUUCAUGUAUUAUCAAACCUACAGUAGUACUGAUGCAGCAGUUACUCCUACAUAUGAUGAGAUCAUUAUUAAACCAACUACUACUACUGGAGUACCAAUAUAUGAUACACCAAUGGAACUACAGGCUAAUACUGCUUAUGAUGUUAUUAAUAAAGAUAUAAUUAAUGUACAUAAUAAUGAUGCAUAUGGACAAAUAAUGAUGUAACAUAGAUCUA
Molecule: long non-coding RNA, 624 nt
Organism: Amphimedon queenslandica
Lineage: Eukaryota; Metazoa; Porifera; Demospongiae; Haplosclerida; Niphatidae
Exons: 3
Source: RefSeq, a predicted model, not a curated record